RNAcentral lists this ribosomal RNA (502 nucleotides) under uncultured bacterium. RNAcentral describes it as "bacterial SSU rRNA". It matches the Rfam family "Bacterial small subunit ribosomal RNA", at positions 105 to 646 of the family's 1533-position model. The record is from RNAcentral.
GGUGAGUAACACGUGGGAACGUGCCUUUAGGUUCGGAAUAGCUCCUGGAAACGGGUGGUAAUGCCGAAUGUGCCCUUCGGGGGAAAGAUUACGCCAGNGCGGCCCGCGUCUGAUUAGCUAGUUGGUGAGGUAACGGCUCACCAAGGCGACGAUCAGUAGCUGGUCUGAGAGGAUGACCAGCCACACUGGGACUGAGACACGGCCCAGACUCCUACGGGAGGCAGCAGUGGGGAAUCUUGCGCAAUGGGCGAAAGCCUGACGCAGCCAUGCCGCGUGAAUGAUGAAGGUCUUANGAUUGUAAAAUUCUUUCACCGGGGACGAUAAUGACGGUACCCGGAGAAGAAGCCCCGGCUAACUUCGUGCCAGCAGCCGCGGUAAUACGAAGGGGGCUAGCGUUGCUCGGAAUUACUGGGCGUAAAGGGCGCGUAGGCGGAUCGUUAAGUCUGAUGUGGAAUCCCACGGCUCGACCGUGGAGGGUGCCUUUGAUACUGGCGAUCUUGAG